AUUGAACGCUGGCGGAAUGCUUUACACAUGCAGGUCGAACGGCAGCACGGGGGCAACCCUGGUGGCGAGUGGCGAACGGGUGAGUAAUACAUCGGAACGUGCCCAGUCGUGGGGGAUAACGUAGCGAAAGUUACGCUAAUACCGCAUACGAUCUACGGAUGAAAGUGGGGGACCUUCGGGCCUCAAACCAUCGGAUGUGCCCAGAUGGGAUUAGCUAGUAGGUGGGGUAAUGGCUCACCUAGGCGACGAUCCCUAGCUGGUCUGAGAGGAUGACCAGCCACACUGGAACUGAGACACGGUCCAGACUCCUACGGGAGGCAGCAGUGGGGAAUUUUGGACAAUGGACGCAAGUCUGAUCCAGCCAUUCCGCGUGCAGGAUGAAGGCCCUCGGGUUGUAAACUGCUUUUGUACGGAACGAAAAGGUCUCUCUUAAUACGGGGGGCUCAUGACGGUACCGUAAGAAUAAGCACCGGCUAACUACGUGCCAGCAGCCGCAGUAA
RNAcentral lists this ribosomal RNA (500 nucleotides) under uncultured bacterium. Its description in RNAcentral is "partial 16S ribosomal RNA". It matches the Rfam family "Bacterial small subunit ribosomal RNA", at positions 30 to 523 of the family's 1533-position model. The record is from RNAcentral.